RNAcentral lists this ribosomal RNA (19 nucleotides) under uncultured Sebacina. Its description in RNAcentral is "partial 18S ribosomal RNA". The record is from RNAcentral. Lineage: Eukaryota; Fungi; Basidiomycota; Agaricomycetes; Sebacinales; Sebacinaceae.
ACUGGCGGAGGGAUCAUUA